Molecule: ribosomal RNA, 497 nt
Filed under: uncultured bacterium
Lineage: Bacteria
Description: partial 16S ribosomal RNA
Rfam family: Bacterial small subunit ribosomal RNA
Source: RNAcentral
GAUGAACGCUGGCGGCGUGCCUAAUACAUGCAAGUCGAGCGAACGGACGAGAAGCUUGCUUCUCUGAUGUUAGCGGCGGACGGGUGAGUAACACGUGGAUAACCUACCUAUAAGACUGGGAUAACUUCGGGAAACCGGAGCUAAUACCGGAUAAUAUUUUGAACCGCAUGGUUCAAAUGUGAAAGACGGUCUUGCUGUCACUUAUUGAUGGAUCCGCGCUGCAUUAGCUAGUUGGUAAGGUAACGGGUUACCAAGGCAACGAUGGAUAGCCGACCUGAGAGGGGGAUGGGCCACACUGGAACUGAGACCCGGUCUAGAGUCCUAAGGGAGGCAGCAGUAGGGAAUCGUCCGCAAUGGGCGAAAGCCGGACGGAGGAACGCCGGGUGAGUGAUGAAGGUCUUCGGAUCGUAAAACUCUGUUAUUAGGGAAGAACAUAUGUGUAAGUAACUGUGCACAGCGUGACGGUACCUAAUCAGAAAGCCACGGCUAACUACGUG